UGUAUGUACCAGCGAAGCAGCACUGUCCAUGCAUCUGCUCGUGACAAGCGAGUCACCAAUAUUAAGUUUCUACAUGACUAAGAAGAAACUGAGCUCGGCUUCUAGUCACAACAAAGGAUUGGUACAGAUAAAAGGGUCAAAAUGAAUACUGCGGAAGAAAUGAAGUGUUUUUAUGAUAUCCUCAGAUCUCCAAGAAGCUAGACUUCGUAACUUUUUUACUUUUAAUACAUAUGGCAAUGUUUGUUUUCAGUUUAAUACAAUAUUUGUAUUGUUUAAUUAUUAGCUACUUAAAUUUUGAUAUUUUGUUUUGUUGAUUCACAAUUACACCUUUCUUUAUGUGAUAUGAAAUGCUUACUGAAUCACUUUGCUUCAUUACUGCAACUUCAUACAGUUUUAGUCUCAAAGUAAAUGCAGAGUUAAACUCUAUUAUAUUGAUAUUCAAAGAAGACAUUAAUUUUGUCAUUGUAGGCAUCAUCAUAGCUCUUCAGUAAAAGGUCAUAUCUUUCUUUGUUGGUCUAUUUAAAAACAGUGUGUUGAUAAAUUAUGUAGCAAUGAGCGAGAAAUAACGGGUUGAUAAUGAAGAGUGGAUAGAUAAGGAUGUGAGAAGAAGUGACUGGGUAUUACUACAUGCAAAGUAGAAUAAUUUUAAUCUUGCAUCUUCAUCCAGUGCGUGAGGGUCAUUAUGUAACAUCAGAGAAUCAAGAUUAUUUGUUCUCCAAGAAUUUCUAUCAAAAUGAUAGUUAUACAAGAAGUUCCGGCAAGAACGUAUGAUUCAUACCUUACUUCAGAUUCUUCAAUAUACAUGGUGAGUCUGGGAAGAUUUAUAAAUCAGUAAGCUUACAUUUCUACAGUUAAAUAAUACAUCCCUCAUUAGUUUUUCUAAAGUAUGGAUUUAGGCUACAAUAAAUUUUCUUCGUUUGACAUCAAAGUUUUGUGACAUCUUAUAUUUGUAGUAAUAAAAAGAUGAAGAAUAAGAGAGUUUAGGUGUAGUGUCACACAUUCUUAACAAGAUGGAGGUGGUUGGUCAGCAUCACACUCUAUCUGAUUUAACCCAGAGGAAGAGUCACAAGUAACCACUGGAUAUGAUGUUGGGUAAGUCCCAGAGCCAGUUUGGACAUAAUGAAAAGGAGAAAAAUCCCUGCCCUAAUUAGGAAUUUAACUCCCAUUGUCCAUCCUGUAGCCACUUGCUGUAAUGAUUGAGCUAUCGUGGUUCAUAUUUGGAAUUGUUAAUGCACCAAAUGUGUAAGUAUUAGCACAUUUAUGGUCUCAACAUGAUCAUUAUUCAUUCAUUAUUCAUCAGCAAAGAGAAGCCUUCAUAUAGAUUUUGAGCAGCUACCAUGUUAUUAUGUUAUUUUCCACAAAGAAAAAUGUUAUCUUCAAAACUUGCAUAUUGGUGGAUCACCUCAUAACACUUCAGACUCAAACACUAAUGUGCUAGUAAUAGUGUUUGUGUCACUAGCACCUUACAAAUUUGCAAGGGUGUCCAACUGGCAUUAUUUGUAGUUGGAAAUUAUGAAAGUAUAAAGGUGAGGUUGUCUUAACAGCAUGUUGUUUAUACCAGGCAUCUUGAAAAGUCAUCUGUUAUAUCAGAAGUUGUUAAAGGGAGUCAAACACGUGGACAUGAAGCAUGUGAGUGUAUCAUGAAGAAGCAUAGGCCGGAAAUGUCCCCGCAUGGCAAAUGACAAAUUUGUCAGUGUUUGUCAGGGCACGCUCCUUUGUACUGAAGUGCUAACUGAGAUUCGUAAAUGUUUUGUUGGAUCCAUCACUGAGGCAGUACUCAAAAUGUCAUGUUGAGCAACAUCUUUGUAACUUAGUUUAACUUUGGUCUUGUAUUUUUGAAAUCAUAGAAGCAUAGUGCUGAACUGAAUAUGCAUGAUGUCUUUAAACCUGUCUAAAUAUUUUGUAAAUUGUUUAGUUAAGUGACCUUUAAUGGGACUAGGAUCAUAGACAGCUAAAAACUUCAGUGCAUAAAUGAAAUGAAUUGCCCUGGUAUCUUUCUACAUACAAUAAUUUGUAGAUCACGGUGUUCAUAGAAGUAUCUGACACGACAGAAGAAUGAGUGUUUUUUUACUUUAGACCACGCUAUACAUUAUUAUUAGCCCUGCUAAUCCAGUACAUGGAAUAAUUUAAGAACUUCUUUUAGAUUGUUCAGAGAUGCUUAAGUUUGAUAAAACUAUAUGAUCUUCAUUCAGUAAUCUGAUAUAAACAAAGACAGAAACAAAGAUAUGGGAAAGAAUCAAAAUAUUGAGAUUUGAGAUUUUUGUAGUGGUAAAAAUGUGGAUUAUAGUCUUCAUGGCUGUGACAUUGUGUAGUCUUGUAGGUGGUUAUGUAAGAUUUGAAGCUUUUGUAGGGACUACAGUGAAGUCUUCUUGGGUGAUCAGCCAUGUGAAAAUGGCAUUGUAAUCCAUUGUUCUGGAGACUUUCUCUACCUCCAUCAUUAGGGUUGACAAUCUCUGAAAUGCACCAUUCUCACAUAACUCAUCACUCAGGAGUAUUUGAUUGUAGGUGGUUAUCAGUGAUUUAGAGGAAUGUGUGAAUAUUGUGAUAUUUCCUCUACCUACAAGAGUACAGUGGGUUCAGGUUAAUUGGGACACAUCAGGACUAGAACACUUUGGCGCAGUGAAGCGGCUGCCCCAAUUAUGCAAAUUUCCACGUAAAGAAUUAAAAAGGAUUUUUAUUUAAAAUUUGUCACAAGUAAACAACUGCCCCUGAUUAACCAAUGGCCCAGUUAACCGGAAUCUACUGUACAUGAUAUUAUAACCUACAAGAUCACAACACAAAACCAAAACUGUGCCUUCUUACUUCAACCCAUUCAUUGUUAUGGAUGGAACAGUUGACACAAAAAGCAUUAUGGACAGAAAUGUUAUGCCAAAUUGAGCUUUUAUCAGUUUUAUUAAAAAUGGCUUAUCAUAAAAUAGAUUAUCACACAUAAUAACAUGUUUAUUUAAUUUAGAUCUGAAACUUUUAUUUGGAAUGUUUGUUGGUAUGGGUAAUAUCUAAUGAAAUACAAGCCUUUAUUCCCCCUAUACCCUUUUGGUAGCUUCAGGUCAAAAAAACAUUUGAAUUUCUUGUCUGGAUUUAUUAUAACACAGGAUAAUUUUAAAACUGUUAAGAGAGUUCCUAUGUCUGACACAUGGCAAAUGGUUAUUGGGUUAUAAAGUUAUACAUAUAUUCUUUAUGUUUUAUUUGGAAGAUAACAUUUUAUAGUAUAUUAUAAAACUAUGAAUUUAAAGUUUUCUAAUGUGGUCUCUUUGAUGCACCAGUUACAAAUGGUUGUUGUUAUGCAGGAUAUUAAAUGUAAAUUUAUCAAAAUCCAGGAAUGUUAAUAACAAAGAGAUGGCAGGUGAUUGCAGGGAAGACAAUUUUAUAAGAGAAAAUGUGCCAUUGUUUGCAAUGGCGAACAGUACUGGUAGCAAAAAUAAAUUACCUCCCAAAAGUGGGUUUUUUACAAAUGUCUCAUUCUACACAAGGUCAAAAUUGUGAGGUUAAGUUUAUAAUUUUAUUUAUUACUGCAUUAUUUGUCUCUCUUGUGUCCACUUUAUUUCUUGUUCUUUAUCAGACCCUGUUAAUGGUGAUCUGAAUUGUGAUAUGAUGACACUGUAGGUGGUUGUCAGCAUUUUGAAGGAUUAUAUUACAUCUAUCUUCAGGGUGGUGAUGUAGGUGAUACCUUUCUCAGAAAAACUGGUAACCACCAACACAGUGUCACAAUCCAAGAGACUACCAUUGACAUCUUCACCUCUGUGAGAACCUCAAAUCUCGUGUAAGACCAACUUUCAUACCCACAUGUCUGUGUAUUUUAUUUCAAUUUAGUUGGCAACAUUGUUUUACAUUAUUAUAGAAUGAGCUUUAAUCAGUGUUGGUUUUCAUUGUACAAUCCUCGUCCAGUUAAAUUGUGUGGGUAAAUAUUUUCUUCAGAAUUUUAAAAACUCCAGAAGGAGCACGUGUAUGGAUUUGUCCUGCAUGACAGCAAUACUAUUGUACUCCUGUUCCGAACCCUUUGAUUAGUAAUGUUCUUUGAUAACUGUCAGACACUAGUUGUAAGAUUUUCCACAAAACAUGGAAUUUUGGGACAACUGCUUGUGCAAGUGUGUGAGUGUAUACUGACUCUUCAUUUUAUGAAAGCAAAGUAUUUCUUUGGAAGCUGUUAUUAAAUUAUUAUAAUGCUGAACAGUACAUUUGUAUUGCCACAGAUGUUGGUGGAUGGUGGAUAGCAGGGGUGAUGCUUUACCAGGGGUUUCCCUUUGAAAUUACACAGGAAAUUUCUGAUCUUUGUUCCGAGGCUUAUUUGGACACGAUACGAAGGAGGCAGUAUACAGAGGGGCACCGAGUCAGGAUUUGACUGUAUACGUAGGUAUUUAUGCAUUUAUUGGUUAUAAUAAAAAGUAAUUAAUGAGGGUUUUCUAAUUAAUUAUAGGACUGGAGAAAAGAAACAAAAAUUAAGAGAGAAAACAUUGGUGAAGUUACAUAUUCAAAUUGUGUUAUGCAUGCUAAAUACAGACAUUAAUAAAUUAGAUGUGCUAACAUGAAAAGUCAUUAAUUGAACAUUCUUAAAAUGAAGAGUUAAUGUACUUGUAGAAUUUAAGUUUGUAAAUGUAUUGGCCUCCUUGUAUCCACACACUGUUUGGGCCGCAUGUAAGUGUAUGAAUAUACUUAUCGAAGGGUUACAUUGCCUUGAUGGGACCAGACAUAUAAUUAAGGAAGGGGUUUUCAUUAACAGUUCUAACAUAAUUAUUAUGAAGAUAAAACUGGAGUUACAUUUUUGUAGAUUAGUGCAGCAUUCAAGACGUUUGCUUGAUGAUGGUUCAGAAAUGCAGUAUUUUUAUACAUAAGUAUAUAUGUAGCUUAAUGGAUAAUAGCUUUUAUUUAUUUUAUAUGUGCAAAUACACUUAUUAAAGAUUAUAACACUGUUUUAAGGAACUGCUGAUUGAACUAAAUUUUUAAUAAAUAAAUGGACUCUACUGAU
This is a non-coding RNA of Zootermopsis nevadensis, 4963 nucleotides long. Lineage: Eukaryota; Metazoa; Arthropoda; Insecta; Blattodea; Termopsidae. The record is from RefSeq and is a predicted model, not a curated record.